GCUGCUGUAGCUCAGUUGGUAGAGCGUCGCCUUGGUAAGGCGGAGGUCACGGGUUCGAAUCCCGUCAGUAGCU
Molecule: transfer RNA, 73 nt
Filed under: Streptococcus anginosus
Lineage: Bacteria; Bacillati; Bacillota; Bacilli; Lactobacillales; Streptococcaceae
Also listed under: 6 other names
Description: tRNA-Thr
Rfam family: tRNA
About the family: Transfer RNA (tRNA) molecules are approximately 80 nucleotides in length. Their secondary structure includes four short double-helical elements and three loops (D, anti-codon, and T loops). Further hydrogen bonds mediate the characteristic L-shaped molecular structure. tRNAs have two regions of fundamental functional importance: the anti-codon, which is responsible for specific mRNA codon recognition, and the 3' end, to which the tRNAs corresponding amino acid is attached (by aminoacyl-tRNA synthetases). tRNAs cope with the degeneracy of the genetic code in two manners: having more than one tRNA (with a specific anti-codon) for a particular amino acid; and 'wobble' base-pairing, i.e. permitting non-standard base-pairing at the 3rd anti-codon position.
Source: RNAcentral